RNAcentral lists this ribosomal RNA (810 nucleotides) under Podosphaera erigerontis-canadensis. RNAcentral's name for it is "eukaryotic LSU rRNA". It matches the Rfam family "Eukaryotic large subunit ribosomal RNA", at positions 89 to 918 of the family's 3401-position model. The record is from RNAcentral. Lineage: Eukaryota; Fungi; Ascomycota; Leotiomycetes; Helotiales; Erysiphaceae.
GCGAGUGAAGCGGUAACAGCUCAAAUUUGAAAUCUGGCUCCUCGGGGCCCGAAUUGUAAUUUGUAGAAGAUGCUUUGGGUCUGGGCCUGGCCUAAGUUCCUUGGAACAGGACGUCGUAGAGGGUGAGAAUCCCGUAUGCGGCUGGCGCCCGUGCCCGUGUAAAGCUCUUUCAACGAGUCGAGUUGUUUGGGAAUGCAGCUCUAAAUGGGUGGUAAAUUUCAUCUAAAGCUAAAUAUUGGCCAGAGACCGAUAGCGCACAAGUAGAGUGAUCGAAAGAUGAAAAGCACUUUGGAAAGAGAGUUAAACAGUACGUGAAAUUGUUGAAAGGGAAGCGCUGGCAACCAGACUUGGGCGCUGUUGAUCCGCUAGGGUUCUCUCUAGGGCACUCGGCAGCGCGCAGGCCAGCAUCGGUUUGGGGGGUUGGAGAAUGGCUGGUGGAAUGUGGCUGUCUUCGGGCAGUGUUAUAGCCACCGGUGGCAUGCAGCCUCCCCGGACCGAGGACCGCGCUUCGGCUAGGAUGCUGGCGUAAUGGUUGUCAGCGACCCGUCUUGAAACACGGACCAAGGAGUCUAACAUCUAUGCGAGUGUUUGGGUGUUAAACCCAUACGCGGAAUGAAAGUGAACGUAGGUGAGAACCCGUAAGGGUGCAUCAUCGACCGAUCCUGAUGUCUUCGGAUGGAUUUGAGUAAGAGCAUAGCUGUUGGGACCCGAAAGAUGGUGAACUAUGCCUGAAUAGGGUGAAGCCAGAGGAAACUCUGGUGGAGGCUCGCAGCGGUUCUGACGUGCAAAUCGAUCGUCAAAUUUGGGUAU